This 72-nucleotide transfer RNA is filed under the name Ovis aries (sheep). It matches the Rfam family "tRNA". From Rfam's summary of the family: Transfer RNA (tRNA) molecules are approximately 80 nucleotides in length. Their secondary structure includes four short double-helical elements and three loops (D, anti-codon, and T loops). Further hydrogen bonds mediate the characteristic L-shaped molecular structure. tRNAs have two regions of fundamental functional importance: the anti-codon, which is responsible for specific mRNA codon recognition, and the 3' end, to which the tRNAs corresponding amino acid is attached (by aminoacyl-tRNA synthetases). tRNAs cope with the degeneracy of the genetic code in two manners: having more than one tRNA (with a specific anti-codon) for a particular amino acid; and 'wobble' base-pairing, i.e. permitting non-standard base-pairing at the 3rd anti-codon position. The record is from Rfam by way of RNAcentral. Lineage: Eukaryota; Metazoa; Chordata; Mammalia; Artiodactyla; Bovidae.
UCCCUGGUGGUCUAAUGGUUGGAACUUGGCACUUUCACUGCUGGGGACAGGGUUUGAUCCCUAGUCAGGGAU